UACGUAGGGGGCAAGCGUUGUCCGGAUUUAUUGGGCGUAAAGAGCGUGUAGGCGGCUAGAUAGGUCCGUUGUGAAAACUCGAGGCUCAACCUCGAGAGGUCAUCGGAAACCAUCUGGCUAGAGUCCGGAAGAGGAGAGUGGAAUUCCCGGUGUAGCGGUGAAAUGCGCAGAUAUCGGGAAGAACACCUAUGGCGAAGGCAGCUCUCUGGGACGGUACUGACGCUGAGACGCGAAAGCGUGGGGAGCGAACAGG
This 253-nucleotide ribosomal RNA is filed under the name uncultured bacterium. RNAcentral's name for it is "partial 16S ribosomal RNA". It matches the Rfam family "Bacterial small subunit ribosomal RNA", at positions 524 to 776 of the family's 1533-position model. The record is from RNAcentral.